CCAUUUGCGGGGGCGUGGGUGCAGUCGGCCCAAUCCAAUCGCCCGCACGCCGCAACCCUUCCUCCGUCCUCGAUCUCUCUCCCUCAGCCGCCACGAACCCUAGCCCCCUUUCCUACCAUCCCGCGGUCGCUGCCCCUGCUCCAUCCGACCUCCAUCCUCUCCCAUGUCGCCGCCCCUCUUCUCCUCGCUCACCUCGGCCACCUCCUCUCCUCCGCCGUGUCGUCGGCCCCCUCCCUCCUCUCAGUUCCGUGCCAGCCGCCGGCCAAACCCUAGCCCCCGUUCCCCUUGGUCCCCACAGUUACUGCAUCCACAGCCACCCGCUCAGAGAGGCCGAAGACCGGGCAGCGGACGCCUCACGGGGUGGAGGAGAGGCCGGCGAUAGGGAAAAGUAGCAUCUUCAUGGAUGAGAUCCUGACGGCUGAAGAUGGUGCGCACGGGAGGAGCUUGGAAGAUGUCAAGUGGUGGCGCCGCCGGGGAUGAGGGGAGCAGCAGCCGCAGCAGGCGGUGAUGCUAGCGAAGCGGUGGUCCAUGGUGCCUUCGUCGUUGUCGUCCUCGGCAGAAGGUGAGGCCAAGAUGGAUCUCAACAUUCUUUGUGAUAUUCGUCAUCCAUGGAAGAUGCAGAAGAAAAACUCAUGCAGAUCGAGCGAAGAAGAGAAGAGGAAGGAUCUUGAGGAAGAGGAAAAAAACAAGGCAAUGGGACUAUUGACUGGUACAAGAGCUUCUUCAGAAAACCCACGCUGCUUUUCUAAAUCGCAAUUUUGUUCAAGGUACACAUGAAUCUAAGGUCCAGAUUCUAGCUACACCCUUUACUACAACAAUCUCAGGCUUUACUGAAAAAUGUACUACUUAUAUAGUUGAUAUCUUCAAUUCAUAUGGUCGUCCGCUGGAUGAUCACUGGUCUUCGGUUCAUAUGGUCACUGGCUGGAAGCUUGCUGUUAUGUUUGCUUCAUAUGGUGGUCGACUGGAAGCUCGCGGUCUGAAUGAUCUCAUUGUCUAUGGCCAGCAAUACACACUUUUCAUUACUACGAGCCAGGGGUUCACGGGCCAUCAUGAUGAUAUACUUGGUUCUUUAAAGAAGAAUGGUAAGAACUAACGAGGGUUGUCUUGUCCAAGAGCUCUGCCGCGAUGGCAUCGCCACUCAGUGAUGCCUCAGCAGUAAGGCUGAUCGCAGGGAGGUGCGACAUGGGUGGCCUAAAAAGCUAAUUUGGUGCCCUCUCUCUUUGCCUCUUGUUUCCUCCAGCACCUUGAUUUUGAUGGCUAAUAUAUUGACUUUCUAAACAUCUUUAAUUUAUAAGGAAUGUAGUAGUUAUAUGCUUUUCAUUUAUGAUAGAGAGAUUGGACCUAGGUGUCUUGCUUGCUGCUUUGUAAUAUAAGCAUGAUAUUUUUCUGCCGAUUUUGUGGACAGGCUAACAAUGAAAAUUUUAUCUGUAAAAUAUGGUGAUCCCUAUAGUGCUAUUUCUGAAGCUUCGCUGUGCUUGCUUUCCCCCUACAAGCAGUAAUCCAGUCACGGGUGCAUCAGGUACUAUAUCAUGACAGUGUGAUUUCUUUUCAUAGAAUGUUGUCAUCUAUAUCUUGCUGAAGUACAGAACUAUUGCACCGACGACCACAAUGGGAUGGAUCAAGCAGCCAAGACUCAGAGUGUGGUCGGGCAGCGCCAUGGGGCAGAUCUGUGCGGCGCAAGGGGCGGCAGAUGCGAAACUGAAGCUUCCCCGCUAACUUCGGAGCAGUCAAUUGAGCAGAUGGACACGACGGCAUAGUGAGGAUUGGUGCUGCCGUCCCUGGUAGGAGCCCAAUGUCCUAAUCGAACUACUGUCAUGGAGAGGGCAAUACGUGGAUUUGCUUCAGAUAUUGGAGACAACGCCAUUGUGCCGAAGCUCUGAAGCAUACGAUUUUUACAAUCUGUAUUUAUGGGAGAAAGGAUUUGACAUUCGAUAUGCUAAAAGCUGUCUGAAUGUCGAGAGGACGUGGAAAUCUAUUGUGGAUAAUACUGGUCUUGCCAGCGUUAGUGCACUACUCUGAUAAGGCUGCUGCAGUCUGAACCAUUCAUUGUCUGGCACGUAUGUGCAGACGAUACACUGACAAUCGCACAAGCACAUCAACGUGUACAGCAGGUAUUUGAUGAAGAAUUUGAGGCAGAACAAUGUGAACCUUGCUAAAGUGCACAACAUUAGGCAGUUUCUUUGGGUCGACGGAGAAUGUGCCUUUCACAAAAAGAGCUUCAAGGAGCUUGUGUGGCAAAAUAAGCCGCGAGCAAGAGGCUGAUGAUGUUAGUUAAACGUUGGAGGUGUUUGCGGAGCUUGGUUCAAAGGAUCCUCACUUCACAUAUCACGUGCAGGCUGAUAAGGAGGGGAGGAUAAACGCUCUCAUGUGGGCAAAUGGGGACAGUAGGCUGGUGCAAAAAAGACUGUAGCUUAUUCUUAAAUUUUCUGUCUCUAUACUGAAUUUGGUGUUUACCGAUAAAUCAUGUAGCGUGUGAGAUCCAUCAUGCAGUUUAACUGCUAAUCCCAAUUAUGUUAUGCAUAUGCCCUGAAGCUGA
Triticum aestivum (bread wheat) is the source of this 2536-nucleotide long non-coding RNA. RefSeq lists it as uncharacterized. The record is from RefSeq and is a predicted model, not a curated record. The transcript has 10 exons. NCBI's taxonomy places the organism in Eukaryota, Viridiplantae, Streptophyta, Magnoliopsida, Poales, Poaceae.